CAUUGUCUAUUAGAAAAAAAGAUCCCCGGAAGGGAAUAGUACAAAAUUUACUUCUGAUUCGAUCGACCGCGUGUUUUCAUUCGGCCGUUUGCUGUUUUCAAGGGAAUGAUUCGAAAAAUGACUGGAAUUUGUUAUAAUAUUGUGUAUCGCAAUACGACCGAAAAGAAACAACUCGUGUGUAACGUUUUGUAUAUGUUACGGAAAAAUAUUUAGGUCUCGUGUGUUUAAAAAUCGUAGUCAUGUUUAGGAUAUUCUGGGUGUUUAUAGUAGACUAUAGAGAAAGACGGUCGUUGGUCGGACAUUCAUACAGUCUGUCCACGACCAUUUAGUG
Molecule: non-coding RNA, 331 nt
Organism: Cinara cedri
Lineage: Eukaryota; Metazoa; Arthropoda; Insecta; Hemiptera; Aphididae
Source: the annotation of a GenBank genome assembly